This 513-nucleotide ribosomal RNA is filed under the name uncultured bacterium. RNAcentral's name for it is "partial 16S ribosomal RNA". It matches the Rfam family "Bacterial small subunit ribosomal RNA", at positions 28 to 507 of the family's 1533-position model. The record is from RNAcentral.
GACGAACGCUGGCGGCGUGCUUAACACAUGCCAGUCGAACGAAAAGAGGGAAAGAGCUUGCUCUUUCCGGAAUUGAGUGGCAAACGGGUGAGUAACACGUAAACAACCUGCCUUCAGGAUGGGGACAACAGACGGAAACGACUGCUAAUACCGAAUAAGUUCCAAGGGCCGCAUGGCCCAUGGAAGAAAAGGUGGCCUCUACCUGUAAGCUAUCGCCUGAAGAGGGGUUUGCGUCUGAUUAGCUGGUUGGAGGGGUAACGGCCCACCAAGGCGACGAUCAGUAGCCGGUCUGAGAGGAUGAACGGCCACACUGGAAUUGAGACACGGUCCAGACUCCUACGGGAGGCAGCAGUGGGGAAUCUUCCGAAAUGGGCGAAAGCCUGACGGAGCAACGCCGCGGGAGUGAUGACGGCCUUCGGGUUGUAAAACUCUGUGAUCCGGGACGAAAAGGCAGAGUGCGAAGAACAAACUGCAUUGACGGUACCGGAAAAGCAAGCCACGGCUAACUACGUG